Ipomoea nil (Japanese morning glory) is the source of this 122-nucleotide long non-coding RNA. RefSeq lists it as uncharacterized. NCBI's taxonomy places the organism in Eukaryota, Viridiplantae, Streptophyta, Magnoliopsida, Solanales, Convolvulaceae. The transcript has 3 exons. The record is from RefSeq and is a predicted model, not a curated record.
UUUGCAAUCCAUUUAUUGCAUGGCCUGUGCAUAUAGAAAACUAAAAGAGAGCUCUCUAAUUGAUAUUGAUCAGGAAAAUCUCUAGAUAGAAAGUAAUCUAACUUGAAUAUUGUGAAUAUAGA